AUUUCACAGAAUCAUGGAAUGGUUUGGGUUGGAAGGAACCCUAAAGACCAUCUAGUUUGGCCCCCCCCGCCAUGGGCAGGGACAGAUUUGGCCACUGGGCUCUUGGCCUUGAGGAGACCUCUGGGUGGGCUGAACUUGAGCUCGGCUUUAGGGAGCGUAGAGAUCCUGGGUGACUUGGUAGAGGGUGUGUUCAGUGACCUCCUGGAAGUACUGGCAGCACAGCCACUCCUCAAGGCCAGGUCUGCCCCCUGCCCUGGUCGAAUUCUCUGCAAACCUCAGGAGCAGCAGAGCCCUUUUCACCUCCACCCAGCUCUGGAGCAGUGGGAGGGUCUUCCUGCUCCUGGCAAAGAGCUCCUGGCGUGGCCCCCAGAGCAGGACCUGCAGGAUUCUCCUGGCCUGGGGGAUGGAGACCCUCCUGGAGGGAUCUCUGUGGAGGAGCAGCGUGGCCACGCGCCGGAGUCCCGCGGAGUAGAUGGACAGGGAGGGGAUUUCAGGAAGCCUGUUGCUUCUGAACCCCAGGGUGUCCUCCAGAGAGAUGUCCACGUGCAGGAUCUGAUAGAUCAGCCUGCCCAGCUUCAGCUCAUCUGCUGCUGGGGCGCUGGGUGCAGCCAGGCCCUUGGUCCAGUCCUGCUCUUGGCUGGUGGAACAAGGUCUUUGCUUCUCUUUGGCCUUGAAGAAGCUGCUGAUGAGCAGCCGGGGGAGGGACAGUCCCAGGGGCUCCCUUUUGCCUUGCUGGCUCCCAGGAGGAUACGGGCACUGCACCAGCAGCAGGUUCUCAGGGCUGAGGUCCCCUUGCCCCCCGUUCUGCCCCUGAAGGUGCUCCAGCCCCAGGCACAGCUGCAGGAGCAGGAGACAGCCCAGGCGUUCGUAGUGCCCAGGGCUGGUCCUGUGCAACCCCUGGGAUCCCUUCACGAAGUCUGCCAGGGUCUGGUGGGGAACCUCGGCACAAAUGAGCACCUGCAGGACAGGGUGGGUGGCAGGACAGGCAGGUUCCUGUCUGGAAGAGGAUUGGCUCUGCUCUCCAGGGUUUCCUGGGAGCAGCAGC
This 1045-nucleotide long non-coding RNA is filed under the name Manacus vitellinus (golden-collared manakin). RNAcentral describes it as "lncRNA (ENSMVIG00005006461.1)". Lineage: Eukaryota; Metazoa; Chordata; Aves; Passeriformes; Pipridae. The record is from RNAcentral.